GUCGGGGAUAGGCUAAUACAACACCCGCAAGGGAAAUAGGCCUGGCUGACUUUGUACAGUUGUGAAUCCCCGGCACCACUUC
This 82-nucleotide non-coding RNA is filed under the name Nitrosomonas communis. Its description in RNAcentral is "sRNA-Xcc1". It matches the Rfam family "sRNA-Xcc1". The record is from Rfam by way of RNAcentral. Lineage: Bacteria; Pseudomonadati; Pseudomonadota; Betaproteobacteria; Nitrosomonadales; Nitrosomonadaceae.